Molecule: ribosomal RNA, 431 nt
Filed under: uncultured bacterium
Lineage: Bacteria
Description: bacterial SSU rRNA
Rfam family: Bacterial small subunit ribosomal RNA
Source: RNAcentral
UCGAGGAUCUUUGGCAAUGGGCGAAAGCCUGACCAAGCGACGCCGCGUGUGCGAUGAAGGCCUUCGGGUUGUAAAGCACUGUCGAGGGGGAGGAAGCCGCAAGGUUGACCUAUCCCUGGAGGAAGCACGGGCUAAGUUCGUGCCAGCAGCCGCGGUAAGACGAACCGUGCAAACGUUGUUCGGAAUCACUGGGCUUAAAGGGCGCGUAGGCGGGUUCCCAAGUCUGUGGUGAAAGCCUCCAGCUUAACUGGAGAAGUGCCGUGGAUACUGGGAGUCUCGAGGAGGGUAGGGGCAUCUGGAACAGCCGGUGGAGCGGUGAAAUGCGUUGAUAUCGGCUGGAACUCCGAUGGCGAAGGCAAGGUGCUGGACCCUUUCUGACGCUGAGGCGCGAAAGCCAGGGGAGCAAACGGGAUUAGAUACCCCGGUAGUCC